RNAcentral lists this non-coding RNA (188 nucleotides) under uncultured Butyricicoccus sp. RNAcentral describes it as "glycine-GGAnGA riboswitch". It matches the Rfam family "glycine-GGAnGA riboswitch aptamer". From Rfam's summary of the family: glycine-GGAnGA riboswitch is a variant of glycine riboswitch that have in common a U69A change. This riboswitch is associate with genes that encode either saccharopine dehydrogenase or amino acid transporters and other genes with not predicted function. Lineage: Bacteria; Bacillati; Bacillota; Clostridia; Eubacteriales; Butyricicoccaceae. The record is from RNAcentral.
CGGAUGAGGAUUGUCCUAGACACUGUGACAAGACACAGGGCCGAAGAAGCAAACCGGGAGGUACAUCUUACUCCCGCGGAAACUGACAGGCAAAAGAAAGACAAUCGGACGAAUCUUUGGAGAGCAUGCCGGGUACGACACUGCGGCAUCACCUACGAGGCUAGAACCAACUGGUAAAAGGACAGAGG